CAGGGAAUAGUAUAAAAAAGUAUAUUUUGUUUACACCAAAGAGGAGAAGUUUCUUCCCUGA
Molecule: transfer RNA, 61 nt
Filed under: Paratapes undulatus (undulate venus clam)
Lineage: Eukaryota; Metazoa; Mollusca; Bivalvia; Venerida; Veneridae
Description: tRNA-Val
Source: RNAcentral